GACGAACGCUGGCGGCGUGCUUAACACAUGCAAGUCGAACGGUGAAGGGGUCUGCUUUUGUGGGCCCUGGAUGAGUGGCGAACGGGUGAGUAACACGUGAGUAACCUGCCCCCUUCUUCUGGAUAACCGCAUGAAAGUGUGGCUAAUACGGGAUAUUCUGGGUCUGUCGCAUGAUGGGUCUGGGAAAGAUUGCGCCUUUGGGUGUUUUUGGUGGGGGAUGGGCUCGCGGCCUAUCAGCUUGUUGGUGGGGUGAUGGCCUACCAAGGCGGUGACGGGUAGCCGGCCUGAGAGGGUGGACGGUCACACUGGGACUGAGACACGGCCCAGACUCCUACGGGAGGCAGCAGUGGGGAAUAUUGCACAAUGGGCGCAAGCCUGAUGCAGCGACGCCGCGUGAGGGAUGGAGGCCUUCGGGUUGUAAACCUCCUUCGCCAGUGAAGCAGGCCUGCUCCGUGUGGGUGGGUUGACGGUAGCUGGAGAAGAAGCGCCGGCUAACUACGUG
This 502-nucleotide ribosomal RNA is filed under the name uncultured bacterium. RNAcentral's name for it is "partial 16S ribosomal RNA". It matches the Rfam family "Bacterial small subunit ribosomal RNA", at positions 28 to 507 of the family's 1533-position model. The record is from RNAcentral.